GCUAGUUACCAUCAUUAAGUUGGGGACUCUAGCGAGACUGCCAGUGAUAAACUGGAGGAAGGUGGGGAUGACGUCAAAUCAUCAUGCCCCUUAUGACCUGGGCUACAAACGUGAUACAAUGGCUGGAACAAAGGGAUGCGAAGCAGUGAUGUGGAGCGAAACCCAUAAAAACAGUCUCAGUUCGGAUUGAAGUCUGCAACUCGACUUCAUGAAGUCGGAAUCGCUAGUAAUCGCGGAUCAGAACGCCGCGGUGAAUACGUUCUCGGGGUUU
This 271-nucleotide ribosomal RNA is filed under the name uncultured Acholeplasma sp. RNAcentral describes it as "partial 16S ribosomal RNA". It matches the Rfam family "Bacterial small subunit ribosomal RNA", at positions 1110 to 1382 of the family's 1533-position model. Lineage: Bacteria; Bacillati; Mycoplasmatota; Mollicutes; Acholeplasmatales; Acholeplasmataceae. The record is from RNAcentral.